This is a non-coding RNA of Podarcis lilfordi (Lilford's wall lizard), 75 nucleotides long. The record is from the annotation of a GenBank genome assembly. Lineage: Eukaryota; Metazoa; Chordata; Lepidosauria; Squamata; Lacertidae.
GGAAGGGCUGCAACUCAGUGGUUGAGCAUCUCCAUUCCACGGAGAAGGUCCCAGGUUCAAUCCUGGGCCUCUCCA